RNAcentral lists this ribosomal RNA (728 nucleotides) under uncultured archaeon. RNAcentral describes it as "bacterial SSU rRNA". It matches the Rfam family "Archaeal small subunit ribosomal RNA", at positions 134 to 860 of the family's 1478-position model. The record is from RNAcentral.
GGGAAACUGAGGCUAAUGCACCAUAGGCGGGGAAGUCUGGAACGGCUCUCCGCUGAAAGCUCCGGCGCGCGAGGAUGGGGCUGCGGCCGAUUAGGUUGUAGGUAGUGUAACGGACCACCUAGCCUUCGAUCGGUACGGGACGUGGGAGCGUGAGCCUGGAGAUGGGUACUGAGACAAGGACCUGGGCCCUAAGGGGCGCAGCAUUCGCGAAAACUCCGCAAUGCGCGAAAGCGUGACGGGGGAACCCCAAGUGCCAGCACAAUGUGCUGGCUUUUCUGGAGUGCAAACAGCUCCAGGAAUAAGGGCUGGGUAAAACCGGGUGCCAGCCGGCCGCGGGUAACCCCGGCAGCCCGAGUGAUGUCCGCGUUCAUUGGGCUUAAAGCGUUCGUAGCCGGCCCGUUAAGUCCCUGGUCAAAUCCGACGGCUCAACCGUCGGCUAUCCUGGGGAUACUGGCCGGGCUUUGAGGCCGGGAGAAGGUCAAGAGGUACUCCUGGGGGUAGGGGUAAAAUCCGAUAAUCCUGGGGGGACCACCAGUGGCGAAGGCGUCUGACUGGAACGGGCCUGACGGUGAGGGACGAAACCCUGGGGAGCGAUCCGGAUUAGAUACCCGGGUAGUCCAGGGCGUAACGAUGUGGCUGGUGUGGGUCAAUCAGAAGGAUUGAUCUGUGCCGAAGCGAAAGCGAUAGUCCACCGCCCGGGAGUACGGUCGCAAGGCUGAAUUCCGUUA